AGUAGGAAACAUUGAUCUAUAUAACUGUUUACUAAUUCACAUGAAUCAGAACGAAAACUAUUGUGAUUACUAAAAUACCCCUAGUUUAAUUAAUCUAUUUAUAAGCUAAUUAUUUUUAGUAAAUCUUUUAUUGUUUCGUUUUUUUUUUAGGAGAACAAUUAUUAUUUUUUAGUAAAACUUUUAUUACUUUAUUUUUGGAUUUUUUAGUGGAAUUCUCAUGCUUAUCUACUAACCCAGAACCCACUGUCCUCAUCCAAAUUUGCAUUAUCUAGAACCCACAGCUCAUAGCCUCACCUCGACGAAGAGAUCACCGUUCCUACCACUUCUUCUUCAAUGAUGUGCGGGCAUCAGAGCCUGCGCCUCAACGUGGGACUUCGCAAACCCGAGCUCCAAUUUGGGUCUUUCUCGGGUCCCUCUCACCUGAACUCGUCCCUCUCCCUUGGCCUCUCUGGAGGACGUGGAGGAUUUUGAGGUGGUGGAGCGAGAGGAGGCAACGGAGGAGCAGAGAGCUGCUGGAGAGGAUGGCGGAGGACAACGAGAAGAUGGAAAGGAGUACUAAAGGUGCAGGGCAUUUUGGGAAGGAAAUUUUGAUUCUAGAUGAAGCCUUCUUCCCGGAAUCCAAAUACUACCUUCUUCUAUGUAAUCCAAUUCCGACAAUAUCAAGAAUUGAAUUCCUAAUUUUAUGUGGGGUCCACAAAACUAUUCAUUCCAAUUUGGUAAACGGAGGUAUAAUCAGGAAUAGGGGAUGAUUCCUAUUCUGCUAUAUCCUUUCCCCAUAUGUAAACACGCCAUUAGUGGAUUAGAUUCGUUCAAACCA
Molecule: long non-coding RNA, 817 nt
Organism: Pyrus x bretschneideri (Chinese white pear)
Lineage: Eukaryota; Viridiplantae; Streptophyta; Magnoliopsida; Rosales; Rosaceae
Exons: 2
Source: RefSeq, a predicted model, not a curated record